Molecule: non-coding RNA, 46 nt
Organism: Schistosoma margrebowiei
Lineage: Eukaryota; Metazoa; Platyhelminthes; Trematoda; Strigeidida; Schistosomatidae
Source: Rfam
AUUUGUACUGACGAGUCCCGAAUAGGAGGAAAUGCGCGUCCUGGAU